RNAcentral lists this transfer RNA (72 nucleotides) under Pedicularis resupinata. RNAcentral's name for it is "tRNA-Gln". It matches the Rfam family "tRNA". Rfam says of the family: Transfer RNA (tRNA) molecules are approximately 80 nucleotides in length. Lineage: Eukaryota; Viridiplantae; Streptophyta; Magnoliopsida; Lamiales; Orobanchaceae. RNAcentral also lists the same sequence under 2 other names. The record is from RNAcentral.
UGGGGCGUGGCCAAGCGGCAAGGCAACGGGUUUUGGUCCCGCUAUUCGGAGGUUCGAAUCCUUCCGUCCCAG